Molecule: transfer RNA, 71 nt
Filed under: Candidatus Pacearchaeota archaeon
Lineage: Archaea; Nanobdellati
Description: tRNA-Val
Rfam family: tRNA
About the family: Transfer RNA (tRNA) molecules are approximately 80 nucleotides in length. Their secondary structure includes four short double-helical elements and three loops (D, anti-codon, and T loops). Further hydrogen bonds mediate the characteristic L-shaped molecular structure. tRNAs have two regions of fundamental functional importance: the anti-codon, which is responsible for specific mRNA codon recognition, and the 3' end, to which the tRNAs corresponding amino acid is attached (by aminoacyl-tRNA synthetases). tRNAs cope with the degeneracy of the genetic code in two manners: having more than one tRNA (with a specific anti-codon) for a particular amino acid; and 'wobble' base-pairing, i.e. permitting non-standard base-pairing at the 3rd anti-codon position.
Source: RNAcentral
GGUCCUGUAGUCUAAUGGUAGAACACCUCGUUUACACCGAGGAAGCCCAAGUCCGAUUCUUGGCAGGACCA